UACAGAGGUGGCAAGCGUUGUUCGGAAUUACUGGGCGUAAAGGGCGCGUAGGCGGUCUUGCAAGUCCUGUGUGAAAUCCCCCGGCUCAACUGGGGAACUGCACAGGAAACUGCUUGGCUUGAGUUCGGGAGAGGGAAGCGGAAUUCCGGGUGUAGCGGUGAAAUGCGUAGAUAUCCGGAGGAACACCGGUGGCGAAGGCGGCUUCCUGGACCGACACUGACGCUGAGGCGCGAAAGCCAGGGGAGCAAACGGG
Molecule: ribosomal RNA, 253 nt
Filed under: uncultured bacterium
Lineage: Bacteria
Description: partial 16S ribosomal RNA
Rfam family: Bacterial small subunit ribosomal RNA
Source: RNAcentral